UUUGUUUCUUUCCUUUAAUUAGUUUUUUAAUAUAGUUUUUAAAUAAAUCACACUCAAAUGGAUGAAAUGAAAACUCAUUAUAAUACAAUCAUAUGCUAGAGCCAUAUAUCAAUAAUACACAUAAAUUAAUAUCGAUUUAUAUUCAAAUAGAACAGUGCAAUACAUAAGGAAAGGAUACAUUAUGCAGUAAUACAAAUUACAUUUAUGAAUAGCUAUGCUCUCUUGGUGUCAAGGUUUUUAAAGGAUACAAAAUGUAAAAAUUAAUGCUAGUAAGUCCUAACUACUAAUAAUUAUUUUAAUAUAUUUUCUGAAGAUGACUACAAAUUUCCCAUUCCUUUGGAUCACAUCAAGGGACAUGGUCACAUACUUCAUCCCUAAGACUAAGACUCAUGAAUGGAGACUAGAGUAGAAGUCUCUAAAGACAGAAUGACACAAAUUAACAACAUGAAAAGACUCUAAGAAUAAAGUAUACUGUUAAAAAAACCUUCCUUUAAAUCUAGGGGCCAUUGAUUCAUACUUAGUAAUGAGCCAUGAGAUUUUUGACAUUAAACUCUCUCUUUUUUAAAUCUACUGUUUCACAUUCUUAAAAUUCUGGCAUCCCUGCAAUCACUCCUUGUAAUAAGUUGUUUUUUUUUAAUUUAAUAAUGUGACCUCUUUAACCUUAGUGAAGUUCAUUUAUUUGGGAAA
Biomphalaria pfeifferi is the source of this 687-nucleotide non-coding RNA. Lineage: Eukaryota; Metazoa; Mollusca; Gastropoda; Planorbidae. The record is from the annotation of a GenBank genome assembly.